RNAcentral lists this long non-coding RNA (5399 nucleotides) under Suricata suricatta (meerkat). RNAcentral describes it as "lncRNA (ENSSSUG00005001749.1)". Lineage: Eukaryota; Metazoa; Chordata; Mammalia; Carnivora; Herpestidae. The record is from RNAcentral.
UUAGUUUUCCUAUAUGUAUGAAUACACUACUCCUUGAUUUAAUGGGGGGAAAAUGCUUCCCCCUGUAUUCAGGUUAUACAAUGUCUUUUGGAAAAGUUUAGCUACAGCCUUUCAUCACCGAGACUGCUCUCUGUUCACACGUAACAGGACUACAACUGUUCCUCCCCAGGAGCUGCGUUCCAGAGUGCGGAACUACUCCAAAAAGCCCUUGGGCAGCCGCAGCCUCUCCCAGUUACACCUCAGAGCAUUGCUGGAGAACGCGGACGUACCAGGCGUUAACAGGAGACAGUGGUUCGUAGCCUGCUGGCUACUCUGCAUUCUGCCAAAGCGGGCAGCCAGGAGAAAGCUGUCUGAUAACAGUGUCUCAGCUUUACUGAGCACCUGUCCAGAUGAUGAGGGAGGUGCCAACUCUAAAUCAAUGCCUAGCCUCUUCUCUGGGCUCCCUGACUUGUAGGUAGGGCUUAACACCAAGUUGUGGGUCUAACUGCUGAGUGAUAAACAGCUUUGGGAGUCCCUACCCUCCAACCAGACACAGGACAGCACCACCUCUAUUCAAAGAGGUUCCGUAUCGAGUACAGAUGGAAGGCUGAUAAAACAGAAAGCAAUCUCGGGCAAUGUCGCUGGUCUUAUGUGUAUUUCCCUUCAUUUCUUCAAGUGAUUCAUGAAACAACCACAGGAUUGGCAGGAGAAAUCGACCUAGCAUAUCCAAGUAAAACAUGUUUUCAUUAGUUUUGCUGCUGGUGACUAGAGUUGGCUUGAUUUUCAUAUUGAUAAAGACACUGCCUCCUGAAGUACAUCUGAGAAAUCUGAUUAUGAAGUUAGAAGCCACACACCUCCUCAGGCGCUCCUGGAAAGCAGGGUGUGUCUCCAGGAAAGCAUGAGGAGAAAAAGACUUGUACAGCAUCUUUUUUAUUUUCUUUACCAUUGCUUUAAUGCACUUUAAAAUUUAUCUACAUUAAUUGGGAACAAAGAAACAAAAAUAGACAUUUCUUUGUUGUUCAUAAAUAACUACUCUCCAUAUUUGAUAAAAAUUUCAAACCAUUAUUUUACCUUCCCACAAAUAUAAUACAUACAAAAUCUUUUCUGAAAUAAUAAGGUCAGCAAAUUAAGUAUCUUGAGACUAACAUAACCACAUACAACCGCUGUUCUACGGACUUCCAGGAACCAAACCAAACACUCCUUAUCAAGAUGCUCUGGGCUUCCUUUUGUUAAUGUUACGUUGUCAAAAUUAUAAUCCUCUGCCAAUAAUAAUUUAUAGAUUCAAGUUGAUUGUCUACAAAUAAAACAUCGCUGGCUCUGAUUUGUGAGUUCUGGAUCGGACACUCCGGUGAGGAUGCUGUGGUGAUAGGCACUAUACACGUGUGAAAACCAAAGAAGUACUGAAUGCCCUGGACUCCAACUACUGACUCGGUAUGUGCCUCAUUUGGCUCAGUAAUAAAUUCACCUGCACCAAACCCGUAUCAAAGUCACUAACUCUCAUAUAUAUAAUAUAUAUUAUAUGUAUAUACACACCCACAACACAUACAUACUAUACACACAGUUUUUAACAACAUGAAGUAAUAUUGUCUCACAAUGAUGUACCAGACGUUUUCCUGGCUGAAAUGAAUCCUGUAAUUGUCAGUGAGCUGCUAGAAGCUUUUCAGAGUUGAGUCAGGUAACUUAGUUACUUAUAUCCUGCCCAUCCUUUGCCCUGCUUCAAUGUCUUGGUAGCUUUGUUUUUUCUUUCUUCCCCUCAGAAGCAUCCUCCCCCACGCCAGGCAUAUUUCCCCCCCAGGAUCACUUCAUUGGACUUCAGAAGCAAGAAAAGGGCACGCAGAGGGAGCAGGCAAUUCUCAGCCACAGUACCUCACACCUGCCUGGAUGUGUGACGUUCUGGGUCCUGUUUGCCCCAUUUGGUGUUAGAAAGCACUUAUUCAAAGCUUUGUCCCUCCUACCCCCCUUGGUCUUUCUGUAGGGCACAGAAGUGGAAGAAGCCCCUUUAGCAGGGGUGGCAGUUCAUUAAAACACACAGCUGUACUUCCUAGCUCUGGGGUCCCAUUCUGUACUUGAGAGUGCAGGUCGCGGAUGCCGUUAUUAAGGUUCGGUGUGGGGUCCAUGAGGUUUUCUCCUGGCAGCCAGUGUCAGGAUUAGUGCAGCCCUGGCCCAGGAGGAAACAGCCUAAUGAAUACCAACUUGGAAAUAGUGCUGUCGGCACAUUAUUUAAGCUUGUACAUGCACACAAUUACACACACACACACAACACACACACACACACACACACACACAGGCCUAUCAUUGGAAAUGGUCAUGGGAAAAGAUGACAAAGGUUUGCAAAGAUAAACCAAUAAGGCACCAGGAAAAAUUAUGAUCAGCCAAUUUAGACAACAUCAAACAUGUAAGGAGGGAAAUCAUAUAAAUUAAGGAGACUUCCUAAAGUCUGGCCAAUGGAUUCACUGACAGGUCACAUUAGUUCCUUUAGACAACUUUCUAAAUCUUCACCCCCAAUUCAUGAAGUGAGACAAUGCUUAAAACCGAACUGUGAAAGGGACAGCCUGGAGGCUGUACAUGGGACAUAAACUGAACCCUAAAUUCUCUCCAAUGUCACAAAGCUAUCUGUGGACAAGUUGCUAGACACCAAAACCCCACAACCUUUCAUUUUAUAAUUGUUUUCAUGAGUAUGAAUUGCCUGCAUAAUAAAAAUGCAAAUCAGGGGAAAGGAGCAUGGGGAAUGGAAAUAGAGGGCGGCCAUAAAUAGAUGUGGCUUCUCUCCCCUGGGUGGGGGAUGGGAUGGUUGACAUUAGUAAGCCUUUAGGGAAAGCAGGUAGGCUGUGUCUCGCAGGGACGGGAUUUAGGGAAAGCAAGGUAAGAACACGGACUGAAAACAAAGCGGCAUCUCUGACAGGUGGUCUGCAACUAGACCCCAGAAGACAUUACCUAUGUCGCCUCUCCAUGGCUCACCAUCCUUUGUCAAUUGCCUUUUUUUCUUCUUCAAAGUAAAUUGGUUGUUUCUUAGGCUUGGCAUGUUGUCAAAAUGAAACAAAUUUUUUUUUUUAAAUGAAGAGUGAAUUCACCUUCAUCUGUUUCAUCCCACAACUUUUAGAUGCACUGUGCAUCAUUUUCUAGAUUCCUCCACAAAGAAAAAAGAAGUUAAGGGGACAACCCAAAGUAAGCACAAGGACUGGAGGCAGUGUGACAAUCUGAGUACUUUCUGGGAAGACAUACUAGAAGGGGGAAGAGGUCAAGGUGAUCAGGAAAGGCCCUCAUUUGAAAAACACAAGAAUUGGCCCUCAGAACAGGAUCUAUUAGAAGGUCCUAAGAAGCAGCUUCUGAAUAAGGACAAGAAGAUGUGCAAAAAGUUCAGGAGCUCCAUGUACUAGGCUUUGUUGAAUCCGCUGAAAUUUUAACUUUGAUUUAGAGUGUGAGUGUGUCAGAGCAGUGCGUUUUUAUAAAGCGAACAGCUUUUGAGAGUCCCCAAAACUACAAUACCAGGCUUCUCCCUGAAGCAAAGGGUUCAACUAUGCAUUCAUUUCCUUAAUAUCCAUGAAGUGAAACCUGGCCUGGGUUUAAAUCUUACAUUCCCAACUUUGGUAUAAAUAAAGAGCCAAUGCCUAGACUCGUCAUUUUCUUAGGGAGCCAUUCUAAAAUUUUAAUUGGUUUUGCCACUUUAGCUUCCCAAAUUCAGGCCCCCCUCAACCCCGGUCAUUGGUAUUUUGCUGGCCAAUGCACUAUCACCUCCUCCAAGUCAUGGCCUCACACUCUUCAUGAAGGAACAGUUAAACAGAUUAGAAAAGCAAACAGAAUUCUUAAAUAGUAAAGAACCGUGUGUGUGUGUGUGUGUGUGUGUGUGUGUGUGUGUUCAUAUAUAGGCUUUCAUAUAUUAAUGAACGGUUAAGCAUUUUCAAAAGCAAACAAUUCUCUAAUAGCAAAGUGCAGACGCACGUGCAUGUGGGUGCAUGCAAGUGUGUGCUCAGGAAUAUAUCGGCCUACUCAAAGAAAAAAAAACCAUACUGAGGCGGGGGAGACGGGACAGCUUUCCUCCUACAGCAGCAGUACCCUGAUCCAGACUUUAAAAGCUUAUGCAUGUGUAUUAUGGGUGUCAUUUGUUUUGAGAGACUGCAGAGAGCAAUGUUUGGCUGCUUUCGGAAUAUAUCUGGCUAAUAAACUAGUCCAAAGUCCAGGGACACUUCUUUUCCCUCAUUGCUGCCAAUGUUUGCUCACAGGUAGCCAGCCUCCCUGCCCCCAGUUCAAGCACCCCAUUGGAGGGUGGGUGUGGCUUCUUAAUCACAGCUCUCCAGGAGAGGAGGCAUAAGAAAAGCUAAAAGACUGUUAAACAUGAUAAAGGAGGUGGGAUGGGGGUGGAGCAGAUAAGAGAGGUGUUGGAAAUUCACUUAAUUACUGGAGGUAUAUCCAUUUUAGUCCUUACAUCUAAAAAGCAGCCCAUUUAACGUCUAUCUCUAAAUACUUCCAGAACAAGCGAGUGGGAUUUACCUUUACCAAAAUGAGAACACAAGUUCUUAAAAAAAAAAAAGGGGGGGGGGAAUCAUUGAAGCCCAUUAACCACCCACCCUUUCUCGGGCACAAGGCUGCCAUUUUACCAGUUUGGAAUUCAAGCUCAACCAAUCACCAUCCUUGAGGUUUUCACUUUUCCAAAUAUUUAUACCGGCACUCUAUAAUGCUACCUCUAACUUUUUCAAGACAAUGCUGGGUGCUGUUAGGAAUGAGAAUGAUUGCAAGUACUACAGAAAAGAAACCGAAGCUGGAUAAAUAAACAACGCUAGGACACACACAGAAUCAGUUGAGGCUCUCCUCUCUAACCUUGUCACUUUGGGGAGGCCCUAGCCCCACAAUGCUCCCCCUCUUGGCAUGAAUUGGGGUUUCCCCUAACUUAGGGACAAGCAGCUCAACCUUAAAGCAUCUCGGACACUUUAAGCAGUGAAAGAACAAGCUGAAAAGUCACACCGACAAGCUCCCAGUCAUAGCAACCUAAACUUUCACUGUUCACAUUUGUUUUAAAGACACAAGUAUAGGAAAUAGAUUUUCCCAAUUUAGAGCACACAGUUCAAAGGAACCUGAACCAAGCAGAACUUCAUUAUGAUGCCAACCUUAGGAUUGUAAAGCCCCCAAAGCAAAGGUAAAUUUUGUUGCCAAAAUGCAACAAAGUUAAAAAUUAAGAAAACUACAUAUAAAUUAAAAAACAGGGUUCCCCUAAAAAAAAAAAAAAACCAGGUAGUAAGAAACACAAUAGAAUACACGUGAGCUGAGCCCCUUUGAGAAGUCCUGGGACCGGUACUGCCUUGAAAGGGCCCCUUUCUCCUCUCCAAGUUGCCCCAGGAGGGGGCAUCAGCACCAUGCAGGUAAACGGAAGUGAACUUGGCAAAAAAACUACCAAACAAAACAAACCCCCUCCCGCCACUCCCGGC